GUCUUGCAGGCUGGGGUCCCAGGUGAGAGAUGCCAGCAGGGAGCUCUAGAUGGGGAACUGGGUGAGCCUGGCUCGGUAAGGGCGUGCUCAGAACACCCCAUCCCCGAACACGGUCUUGUGUGAUAAAAUGUCACGCAAGAAGAAUCUGAAACCGCGAGAAGAGGAGGACACGGCCAGACUGCACCGAACCCCGGCACCUCUGUGGGGAAAAGCAGGUCAGGCUGAGCGGGGCCGGCGGGGACACGCGCUCCUGGGCUUCUCCAGAGUCUGCCGGGGCCGGGCCCGGGACCGAGGCUGGGACGCGCUGUGCAGUCCCACCCCUCACACCCCUCGCACGCCUGGAAACACCCUCGGGGUAACACAAGCCGGGGUUGAGUUUCUUGAAGAGAAGCUGGCUGCAUCCUGGAGCCAGGGAAAGAGGAGCACAGGGGCCAAGCGGUCCAGGGCCACGGAGGAGCAGGACCCCUGGGGAAAGGCCCGGGUCUAGGCCGGGGCCAGGGGACCGUGGUGGAGACCUCAAAAAUGGCAGAACACGGAAGCAGGGCGAGAAAAGUAAACGUAGUCCUUGCGGCAGUUUGAAAUACACGCGGGUAAACGCUGGGUGACUCCGCCCGGAUGCAGAGUGGGGGUCUGUGUCUCUCCCCACAGGCUGCAGGGACCGGGCUCUGGGUAACCAGCAGAAGGUAACAGAACGAGGCUGCUUUUCCUCCAGGCUGUUCUGGUGUCCGCGCGUGGCUUGUGCGCUGACUCCUGACUUGGAGCGCCGCGUGGCCAGAGAAAUCUGGGUGCCUCCAGGCCACCAUGGUGAGAGGAGAGGCCACCGCACGAACGGAAGAAGCGAUGGAGACGGUCUUUACGACCUAAGAACAGAAAGAGUUUCUUAUACACAAUCCGAAAAGUAAAAAUUGAUUGAUUGAUUGAUUGAGAUGGAAUCCCACUCUGUCGUCCAGGUUAGAGUGCAAUGGCUUGAUCUCGGCUCAUUGCAACCUCCGCCUCCCGGGUUCAAGCGAUUCUCCUGCCUCAGUCUCCCGAGUAGCUGGGAUUAUAGGCGCCCGCCACCACGACUGGCUAAUUUUUAUAUUUUUAGUAGAGACGCAGUUUCACCGUGUUGACCAGGCUGGUCUUGAACCCCUGACCUCAGGUGAUCCGCCUGCCUCGGUCUCCCAAAGUGCUGGGAUUACAGGCGUGAGCCACCGUGCUGGGCCAAAAAUCAAUUUUAAAACGACCACAUGAAAAAUAAAUCUCCUGUAUCACAGAGCAUGUUCUGAGGAAAAUGAAAGCCACAGAUCCAGAAGAUAUUUGUGACACAUAUGAAAAACAAAAACUCAUAUUCAAAACAUACACAGCAUUGCUAUGAAUCAUUAAGAAAAAUGAUUUCGUCUCCUCUACAGGAGCCUGAGUGAAGGACAAGGACAGAUCAUUAUAAACCAGGGAGCUUGAAGAGCUAGUUAACAAGCACAGAAAAUAUGUUCCCCCACACUGUUAAUCAAGAAAAUUAAAACUGUAAUGAGAUGCCGCAUUGUAUCCAUGGGAUUUCUAAAAGUACAAAGUUCCACAAUACCCGUUGUUGACGGAGCAGGGAAACCGCAGGAGCCUGCAGGAGAUGAGAUUGUAAAUGUGCAAGGACAUUUUGGAGAAGAGUUGACAACAUCUCACUCACGUGUAUCAAGCCAAGUGCCGAAAGAAGAAUUGGUUGUCAUAAAGAAAACAGAAACCCAGAAUGGAUGUAGCUUAUCCCUCCGAUGGAAAGUUACAAAGAAGUUAAAAUGAAUGGGCUGCAUCUCUGUGUAACAAUUUGGAUCAAUAUCAAAGACACAUUUGUUAAAGCAAGGUGUACAAUGAAACCUGCAACAUGAUUUGUCUGUUUAGUAAAACACAGAAAAUCUAACUCCGCCUGGCUUACGAACACACACAUGUGUUAGAAUUUGGGAAAAGGAAAGGGAGGGAGGCCGGCUACACGUGAACUUUUGGAAAAUCUCAGAGGGUCUGGGGCACCAGGUGGAGACCAUGGCAGCCUUCAGGGAUAUGAGGGACACUACACAGGCCCGUGACCAUCACACGCCCAGCCUGGCCCCGUGCUGUGCCUGAGCAGAGGACUGUUGGCAGAUGGUUCACUUCCACCCUCCAUGAUAAAUGCUGAGAAAAGAAAGAUCAAGGGCUUCAGAGCCCACUGGAGGGAAUUCAUACAGCCGGGGGCCCAGGAAGCUGCUAAGGAAACUGCCUGGACGGCAGGGUGGCCGUGACCACGGGGACGGGGAGAAGGACCCAGAGGAGCUGAGGAAUCCUUGCUGUGGAAGGCACCAUAUGAGCUGCGUGAAGUCAGAGUCAAAAGCAAACCCGUCUCUUCUUGACAGUGGGACCCAGGAGGCAGGACAACCUGCCAGAGAGGCUGAAGGAGGUUCCCUCAGGCUGGAUCCUCGACAAGAAAAAGGAAGAGGGUCUGCCUGAUUCCCUCGCCAACAACAGCUGGUCUUCCAGAAGUCAGCAAUCUCUUGUCCCUUGUCUUCAAAAGCCCAUGGAGCUGGAGGCAGGCAGCUGAGGUCAGGAAGAGAAGGUGCGACCCAGUCCAGGAAGGCUGAGUCCUCGUGAACCCUCAGGGCUGGGGUGAGGGGCCAGUGCCCGGCCCAGACACCAGCACAGCCCUGCAGUGGGAGUUGAUCUCAGCAGAUGGACGGGCACCGCCCAGAGGAUGGACUGGUCAGCACCGCCCGGAGGAUGGACCGCUCAGCACCGCAGUGGCCGCUUGGCCUAAUUUGCCACCUGAAGAGCCGCCAGGUCUCCAGUGACUCUAGCACCAUGGACAGGAGAGGAGCAGGGUGACCUGAGGGUACAGAGAAGGUUCUGCUGUAAUCAAGUUCCCCUGCCUGGUCAGAGGGCUCAGAGGUUUGAGAGGGGAGGGAUUUCCUUUUAAAGCUGCAGGAUCCCUGUGGGUCCAGAAAGAAACACAGCCAUGGCGGGCAUCCCAUGGAGGGUAGUGACCAGGAGCAGGACAAAGGUGGAAGGUGGGUGGAGCCCCCACAUGGGCCUCAGGUCACAUUGGACAUUUCCUCAGCAAGUGUCACCUGGGUGGUGACGAAUGGGGGAGGAGAACAGAUGGAAUGCGGAGAGUAGCAGUGUGAAGCUGCACCGCCUGGUCACCACUCGAGAUACACAGGGUUUGCUCUGCCUGAGGAGCACACGCUGGCUGCAGACACGGGGCAACCACGUGAGAAAGGUCAGACCCAGGCCCACUCGCCUUCCAUAUGCAUCUUAGGGACGGGGAUGCCUGCGCCAGCAGCAGCCUUGCUGCCCCUGCGUCCCCCAGUGCACCUGCCAGGGCAAAGCCAACAGGCAGUGCCAAGGACCUGAGGGAGGAGGUGGGCUUGACUUCGAGGCAGGGCACAGACACCAGACCACGUGGAGGAGCAGCUGAAACAGGGCCGGUGGCAGCAGCCGCCUGUGAGACGUGCCAGCCGGUGAGCCUUGUUAGUUUACCAUUGCCACGGCAAGACCCAGAAGUUACUGCCACUUCCCACGGUAAAAUCCCAAUGACCCUGAGGUUUCUGCUCCUUUUCUAGAAAUUUCUGCAUAAACCAACCCCUAAUUAGCAUGUAGUUAAAAGUGGGUGUAAUUAUGAUGCGGAGCUGCCUCUGAGCUGCUCUUCUGUGCACUCUGCUGUCCUGGGGCAGCCCCUCUGCUGCCGCUGCAAUAAAAGCUGCUAACAGCA
RNAcentral lists this long non-coding RNA (3706 nucleotides) under Homo sapiens (human). RNAcentral's name for it is "neuronal hypoxia inducible, placenta associated, transcript variant 7 (NHIP)". Lineage: Eukaryota; Metazoa; Chordata; Mammalia; Primates; Hominidae. The record is from RNAcentral.